RNAcentral lists this transfer RNA (96 nucleotides) under Scleropages formosus (Asian bonytongue). It matches the Rfam family "tRNA". From Rfam's summary of the family: Transfer RNA (tRNA) molecules are approximately 80 nucleotides in length. The record is from Rfam by way of RNAcentral. Lineage: Eukaryota; Metazoa; Chordata; Actinopteri; Osteoglossiformes; Osteoglossidae.
GGCUCUGUGGUGCAAUGGAUAGCACAUUGGACUUCUAGUCAAAACUGUGUGAAAGAAGAAAUUCAAAGGUUGUGGGUUCAAGUCCCACCAGAGUCA